Molecule: ribosomal RNA, 330 nt
Filed under: uncultured bacterium
Lineage: Bacteria
Description: bacterial SSU rRNA
Rfam family: Bacterial small subunit ribosomal RNA
Source: RNAcentral
UCCGUAGGCGGUGUGGCAAGUCGGAAGUGAAAUCUCUGGGCUUAACCCAGAGGCUGCUCCCGAAACUGCCGUGCUAGAGUGUGAGAGAGGCGAGUGGAAUUACGGGUGUAGCGGUGAAAUGCGUAGAUAUCCGUAGGAACAUCCGAGGCGAAGGCGGCUCGCUGGAUCACAACUGACGCUGAGGGACGAAAGCUAGGGGAGCAAACAGGAUUAGAUACCCUGGUAGUCCUAGCCCUAAACCAUCAGGACUUGGGGUUUGCCCUGUACGGGGCAAGUCCCGUAGCUAACGCGUUAAGUCCUGCGCCUGGGGAGUACGGUCGCAAGGCUGAA